RNAcentral lists this transfer RNA (72 nucleotides) under Salmonella enterica subsp. enterica serovar Worthington str. BCH-5715. RNAcentral describes it as "tRNA-Lys". It matches the Rfam family "tRNA". Rfam says of the family: Transfer RNA (tRNA) molecules are approximately 80 nucleotides in length. The record is from RNAcentral. Lineage: Bacteria; Pseudomonadati; Pseudomonadota; Gammaproteobacteria; Enterobacterales; Enterobacteriaceae.
GGGUCGUUAGCUCAGUUGGUAGAGCAGUUGACUUUUAAUCAAUUGGUCGCAGGUUCGAAUCCUGCACACCCA